GAAAAAAUUAAAAGGAAAAAAAAAAAAAAAAAGAGAAGAGAAAGGAAAUGAGUGGCGGAAAAAAUGGGGGAAAAGACAACUUUCAGAGACUGGAAUUAAAACCCGAGCCCGAGGCCCGUGCUGCCGCAGCUCUGGGGAUGCCCUCGACACCAGGCUGGCCAUGGGUUCACCCUACGUGAUGCUCAUUUUCUGGCUGACAAGGUGUAGGUCUCUGGCCCUGGGGAGAGUUCACUGGGAAUAUCAUGCUCAGAUUGGCUCAUUAUUACAUGAAUCAGGAGUGGGGGUUAUAUGGAAAACCCCAGCCCCCAAAAGCCAUGAGCUGUGAGGAGCUGCCAGCAGGACCUUGUCUUGAGGCCCCCUCAGCAGAAGCCCCUCACCACAGCUGAUCCCACUUCGCUCCUCCUCUCCCUGCUCCUGCUGGCCGACCCUGGGCUGGAGCAUGAUGUGGAUCCUGAUUUCCAGCAGCGUCUGUCCAGGCUGAGCAGGGCUGCUGAUCAGCACCAGACCUCGGCAUGGGGACACAGCACCGGCUCAGGCAUGGCCGGGGUGCAGAGGACACCGGGACAGCCCCAUCCUGCCCUGCACGUGGCUCUGUGGGCCACUCUCUGGUGAAGAACGUAAGGCUGGAAGAAUAGGAAAAAUUAAAAACAACAAGAAGAAAAGAAAGAAAAAGAGUCUCCAACCCCAGGAAAUCUGUGUUAAUUGCUUAUGAAUGUCUCUGUCUAAAAAAUUAUCGAAUUGAUGUUGUCGUGCUUUUUUUUGACAGCCUGUCUGUUACAUUUUUUUAAAAUAUUCAUGCACCGAAAUCUAAUUACUAGGCAAAUUUAAUGAUAAUGAAAUGAAGGCACUUUAGCAGAAAGCAUAGGGCCUUGUUAAUGUUUUCUCAGCCUCUGUCUUGUUCAUAUUUUUAAAAUUAUUUUUUUACAACUGUCUUUCUUGCAUAUGAAAAAAAAAAAAAAAGAUUGCUGAAAAUAAAACUCAGAUUGCCAAUAA
Molecule: long non-coding RNA, 993 nt
Organism: Parus major (Great Tit)
Lineage: Eukaryota; Metazoa; Chordata; Aves; Passeriformes; Paridae
Exons: 5
Source: RefSeq, a predicted model, not a curated record